GCAGGCGUUUCCUUGGCGUGGGGCGGAAGCGCGGUCUCCGGCGGCGGCCUGGGAACUCUUAGCUGAGCAGGCGAGAGCAUCAUGGAUACCGACUUAUAUGAUGAGUUUGGGAAUUAUAUUGGACCAGAGCUUGAUUCUGAUGAAGAUGAUGAUGAAUUGGGUAGAGAGACCAAAGAUCUUGAUGAGAUGGAUGAUGAUGACGACGACGAUGACAUAGGAGAUCAUGACGAUGACCACCCCGGGAUGGAGGUGGUGCUGCAUGAGGACAAGAAGUACUACCCAACAGCCGAGGAGGUGUAUGGUCCUGAGGUGGAGACCAUAGUUCAAGAAGAAGACACUCAGCCUCUCACAGAACCCAUUAUUAAGCCAGUGAAAACCAAGAAAUUCACUCUGAUGGAGCAGACAUUACCUGUUACGGUGUAUGAGAUGGAUUUCUUGGCGGAUCUGAUGGAUAACUCAGAGCUCAUCAGAAAUGUGACCCUUUGUGGACAUCUCCACCAUGGCAAGGUAAGACAGAACUUUCAGCUACUUGGAACAGGAUUUCUCUUUUGUGCCUGCUCAUGUGUUAGAGUCACAGCCGUUGAGUUUGAGG
RNAcentral lists this small RNA (592 nucleotides) under Pongo abelii (Sumatran orangutan). RNAcentral describes it as "retained intron". Lineage: Eukaryota; Metazoa; Chordata; Mammalia; Primates; Hominidae. The record is from RNAcentral.